CAGGGCGAAUGUCUUGUAAUUGGAAUGAUGGUGACCCAAACCCUCACCAGAGUAGCAAUUGGAGGGCAAGUCUGGUGCCAGCAGCCGCGGUAAUUCCAGCUCCAAUAGCGUAUAUUAAACUUGUUGCAGUUAAAAAGCUCGUAGUUGUAUUUUUGCGUUGACGGUUUGACCAUUUGGUUGGUUAUUUCGUUUUCGCUUUUGGGAAUUUCCCUUUUUACUUUGAGAAAAUUAGAGUGUUUCAAGCAGACUUUUGUCUUGAAUACUUCAGCAUGGAAUAAUAGAGUAGGACUUUGGUUCUAUUUUGUUGGUUAUUGAACCUUAGUAAUGGUUAAUAGGGACGGUUGGGGGCAUUCGUAUUUAACUGUCAGAGGUGAAAUUCUUAGAUUUGUUAAAGACGAACUACUGCGAAAGCAUUUGCCAAGGACGUUUCCAUUAAUCAAGAACGAAAGUUAGGGGAUCGAAGA
Molecule: ribosomal RNA, 464 nt
Filed under: Babesia canis
Lineage: Eukaryota; Apicomplexa; Aconoidasida; Piroplasmida; Babesiidae
Description: SSU rRNA
Rfam family: Eukaryotic small subunit ribosomal RNA
Source: RNAcentral